GAACGCUGGCGGCAGGCCUAACACAUGCAAGUCGAACGGAUGUAGCAAUACAUUAGUGGCGCACGGGAGAGUAACGCGUGGGAACCUACCUUUUGGUUCGGGAUAACGUCGGGAAACUGACGCUAAUACCGGAUAAGCCCGCCCCUUUAGUCGGGGGUGUGGGAAAGAUUUAUCGCCGAUAGAUGGGCCCGCGUUAGAUUAGCUAGUUGGUGAGGUAAUGGCUCACCAAGGCGACGAUCUAUAGCUGGUCUGAGAGGAUGACCAGCCUCACUGGGACUGAGACACGGCCCAGACUCCUACGGGAGGCAGCAGUGGGGAAUAUUGGACAAUGGGGGCAACCCUGAUCCAGCCAUGCCGCGUGAACGAUGAAGGCCUUCGGGUUGUAAAGUUCUUUUGGUGGGGACGAUGAUGACGGUACCCACAGAAUAAGCACCGGCUAACUUCGUGCCAGCAGCCGCGGUAAUACGAAGGGUGCUAGCGUUGUUCGGAAUUACUGGGCGUAAAGGGCGCGUAGGCGGUUUAACAAGUUGGGUGUGAAAGCCCAGGGCUCAACCCUGGAACUGCACUCAAGACUGUUUGACUUGAAUUCGGUAGAGGUUGGUGGAAUUCCCAGUGUAGAGGUGAAAUUCGUAGAUAUUGGGAAGAAUAUCCGUGGCGAAGGCGGCCAACUGGACCGACAUUGACGCUGAGGCGCGAAAGCGUGGGGAUCAAACAGGAUUAGAUACCCUGGUAGUCCACGCUGUAAACGAUGCAUGCUAGACGUUGGAAACCUCAGGUUUCUUGUUCGCAGCUAACGCACUAAGCAUGCCGCC
RNAcentral lists this ribosomal RNA (812 nucleotides) under uncultured bacterium. Its description in RNAcentral is "bacterial SSU rRNA". It matches the Rfam family "Bacterial small subunit ribosomal RNA", at positions 31 to 873 of the family's 1533-position model. The record is from RNAcentral.